GGGCGCGUAGCUCAGUGGGAGAGCACUCGCUUCACAUGCGAGUGGCCGCAGGUUCGACCCCUGUCGCGCCCA
Molecule: transfer RNA, 72 nt
Filed under: invertebrate metagenome
Description: tRNA-Val-CAC
Rfam family: tRNA
About the family: Transfer RNA (tRNA) molecules are approximately 80 nucleotides in length.
Source: RNAcentral